RNAcentral lists this long non-coding RNA (455 nucleotides) under Apteryx owenii (little spotted kiwi). RNAcentral's name for it is "lncRNA (ENSAOWG00000013791.1)". The record is from RNAcentral. Lineage: Eukaryota; Metazoa; Chordata; Aves; Apterygiformes; Apterygidae.
GGUGAGCUGGGGCUGGGGGGGGGCCGGGGGGGGCCGGGGGGGCACCGGGACCCCCCCACACUGACGCUGCCCCCCCCGCAGCCCCCCACACCGGGCAAGACCCCCCCCGAGGGCGCCUGGGCAUCCGCCGCCGCCCCCCCGCACCCCGCCGCCGGCCGCCGCGCGCAGCAAACGCUGGAGGAGGAAGAGGAGGAGGAGGAGGAGGAGGAGCUGGUCUUCGCCGAGGGCGGCCCCUGGGGAGACCGCCGGGACGCCGGGACGCAGACGGAGCCGAUGGCGCCCGCCGGCGCCGGCACUGCCGCACUGCUGGCGCAGCUGGUGCAGCUGCGGGAGGAGCGCGACCGGCUGCUGGAGGAGAACCGGCGGCUGCGGGCGGCCCCGGGAGGGGGGGGGACAACGGCGGCGGCGCUGCCCCCGCUGCUGGGGGCCAUGGGGGCCCUGCGCCUGCAGCCCGG